This 496-nucleotide ribosomal RNA is filed under the name uncultured bacterium. Its description in RNAcentral is "partial 16S ribosomal RNA". It matches the Rfam family "Bacterial small subunit ribosomal RNA", at positions 28 to 506 of the family's 1533-position model. The record is from RNAcentral.
GAUGAACGCUGGCGGCGUGCCUAAUACAUGCAAGUCGAGCGAACGGACGAGAAGCUUGCUUCUCUGAUGUUAGCGGCGGACGGGUGAGUAACACGUGGAUAACCUACCUAUAAGACUGGGAUAACUUCGGGAAACCGUAGCUAACACCGGAUAAUAUUUUGAACCGCAUGGUUCAAAAGUGAAAGACGGUCUUGCUGUCACUUAUAGAUGGAUCCGCGCUGCAUUAGCUAGUUGGUAAGGUAACGGCGUACCAAGGCAACGAUGCAUAGCCGACCUGAGAGGGUGUUCGGCCACACUGGACCUGAGACACGGUCCGGCCUCCUACGUGAGGCAGCGGUAGGGAAUCUUCCGCAAUGGGCGAAAGCGUGACGGAGCAGCGCCGCGUGAUUGAUGAAGGUCUUCGGAUCGUAAAACUCUGUUAUUGGGGUAGAACGUAUGUGUAAGUUACUGUGCGUAUCUGGUCGGUACCUGAUCAGAAAGCCACGCCUAUCUACGG